Carassius carassius (crucian carp) is the source of this 6330-nucleotide RNA transcript. It is a transcript of the gene named rho-associated protein kinase 2-like, with no coding region annotated. The transcript has 32 exons. The record is from RefSeq and is a predicted model, not a curated record. NCBI's taxonomy places the organism in Eukaryota, Metazoa, Chordata, Actinopteri, Cypriniformes, Cyprinidae.
UAGUUGAUGUCAGAGAAACGAACUCGAGCUACCUGCAGGAACACCGAAAGAACUGAUCCGCCGGACUGGCGCGAGAGACCUAAUCCACCAACGACAUGUGGAGACACUUGAGGAAAGCUCUUGCGAGUAACUUAAAAUAACUAACUUUAUCAGGAAUCAUUAAUAAUACAUAUAAAACGCGCCGGUUCCUUUUCACGUCGCAAUUUAGUGUGUUGCAGGAAUGCGUUGGAGUUUGUGCUCUGUUCGACUCCAACAUAUGCUCGUCUUUGAACAACAGCGACGUUGUUUAUGAAUUGGGGAAGAUUUGAAGUCAGGCUCAGCCAGUCCGGGGCGUCCGAGAGAGGGGGAGAGAGACGAGACAAGGGGAGGGAGGAGAGAGGAGAGAGGCGGGGAGGAGAGGAGAGGGGCGCCCAGAAAACGCCCUGCUGCUGAAUCCUCUCAAAAUUAAAACUUUAUCGCGCCAUUAACGGUACGCUCGCACUGAAGGAUGAGAAGUUUGAUUCGGCUCAAUUGUUUAAAGUAGCCACUUCAUAGAUUGUUUUGAGGGGGAAAGUUUGGAAAACCUCAAUUGUUCCCAUUGGAUUAUUAUUUUUUUGGUCCGCUUUAUUCUGGACAAGCACGGGGUACUUUUUGGAGGGCGGCGAGUCGGAGGCUGUCUAGGCCCGCUGCUCGACAACUUGAAAUAAGAUCUUGUAUCUUUAAUGUGAACCAGAAAAGUUGGGCAGAUCGCUCAUCAUUGCUCAGACUGGCGCCAGGACAAAGCAAAAAUGUCGCUAGGAGCGGAGAGAAGGAUGGAAACCCGGUUGAGAAAACUGGAAGCCAUGCUCAAAGAGCCGCGGUCUGCGAUCAACUUGGAAAGUUUGCUGGACUCCAUGAAUGCCAUGGUUUUAGAUUUGGAUUUUCCAGCCUUGCGUAAAAAUAAGAACAUUGAGACCUUCUUGAACAGAUAUGAGAAGGUUAUGGGCCAAAUGAGGGAGCUCCAGAUGAAGCCGGAUGAUUUUGACCGAGUGAAGGUGAUCGGUAGAGGAGCGUUUGGAGAAGUCCGGCUGGUUAGGCAUAAGGCCUCUCAGAAGGUGUAUGCUAUGAAGGUGCUCAGUAAGUUUGAAAUGAUCAAACGCUCAGAUUCUGCCUUCUUUUGGGAGGAGCGUGACAUCAUGGCGUUUGCUGACAGCCCAUGGGUCGUACAGCUGUGCUGUGCGUUCCAGGAUGACCGUUCUCUUUACAUGGUAAUGGAAUACAUGCCAGGAGGAGAUCUUGUCAAUCUCACCAGUACAUAUGAUGUUCCAGAGAAGUGGGCAAAGUUUUACACCGCUGAGGUUGUGUUGGCUCUGGACGCCAUUCACUCUAUGGGCUUUGUUCACCGAGACAUCAAACCAGACAACAUGCUGCUGGACCGCUGCGGACACCUCAAACUUGCCGACUUUGGGACCUGCAUGAAAAUGGAUGGGACGGGGAUGGUUCAUUGUGACACUGCGGUCGGGACCCCUGAUUACAUCUCGCCGGAGGUUCUUAAGUCUCAGGGAGGGGAUGGAUACUACGGACGCGAGUGUGACUGGUGGUCAGUUGGAGUAUUUAUCUACGAGAUGCUGGUUGGUGAUACACCGUUUUAUGCCGAUUCUCUGGUCGGGACCUACAGUAAGAUUAUGGACCAUAAGAACUCCCUUAACUUCCCUGAUGACGUUGAGAUCUCUCAAGAAGCCAAAAACAUCAUCUGUGCCUUCCUAACAGAGAGGGAUAUUCGACUGGGACGAAAUGGCGUAGAAGAAAUUAAAAGACAUCCUUUCUUCAAAAACGACCAGUGGACAUUCAUCACCAUCAGAGAGACUGCAGCACCUGUGGUUCCAGAGCUGAUCAGUGACAUAGACACCAGUAAUUUUGAUGAGAUAGAGGAAGAUAAAGGAGAAGUAGAGACCUUUCCCACACCUAAAGCCUUUGUUGGCAAUCAGCUGCCCUUUGUGGGGUUCACUUACUUUAAAGAAGACCAGUUGUUGAAUGCUGUUAACAGUUCAGCAAUGAAAAAAGAUCCAGUAUCCAAGACAGAGGACAGUUUAGCUCUCCAGAAGAAAAUUAACUCUUUAGAAGAGCAGCUCAACAAUGAAAUGCAGACCAAAGAGGAGUUGGAGCAAAAAUACAGAAGCAACUGUAGCCGCCUAGAGAAGAUCACCAAAGAGCUUGAUGAAGAAAUUAAUAGCAGAAAAGGGUUGGAGACGACUCUGAGACAGCUGGAGAGAGAGAAAGCUCUCCUGCAGCACAAGAGCGUAGAGAGUCACCGCAGGGCAGAGAGUGAAGCCGACCGCAAACGCUGCUUAGAGAAUGAAGUGAACAAUCUGAGGGAUCAGCUGGAUGAAAUGAAGAAGAAAAACCAGAACUCUCACAUCUCCAAUGAGAAGAACAUCCACCUGCAGAAACAGCUGGAUGAGGCAAAUGCGUCACUGCGGGCGGAAUCUGAUGCUGCUGCAAGGCUGCGUAAAGCUCAGACAGAGAGCUCAAAACAGCUGCAGCAGCUGGAGGCUCACGUGAGAGAACUGCAGGACAAAUGCUGCAUGCUGGAGAACAGCAAGCUCACACUAGAGAGAGACAACAUCAGCCUGCAGGCUGCGCUGGACGCAGAGAAACGAGAGCACACCCAGGGCUCUGAGACUAUCUCUGAUCUACAGGCACGCAUCUCUGGUUUGGAGGAGGAAGUGAAACAGGUGAGACAGGCCCUGUCUAAAGCUGAGAUGGAGAAAAGGCAACUCCAGGAGAAGCUUACAGACCUGGAAAAGGAGAAGAGCAAUAACCAGAUUGACAUGACCUAUAAGCUGAAGAUUUUGCAGCAGGGUUUGGAGCAGGAGGAGGCGGCACACAAGGCCACAAAAGCACGACUUGCUGAUAAGAACAAGAUCAGCGAGUCCAUCGAAGGAGCCAAAUCUGAGGCUGUGAAGGAGCUGGAACAGAAGCUGCAGGAGGAACGUUCCUCUAAACUGCGUGUAGAGAACAGGGUGUUAGAACUGGAGAAGAAGAACUCCAUGCUUGACUGCGACUAUAAACAGUCACUGCAGAAACUAGAGGAAUUGCGACGACGCAAAGAGAGACUCACAGAAGAGGUGAAUAAUCUGAGUCUGAAGAUUGAGCAAGAGAUUCAGAAACGCGCUUUGACUCAGAAUGACCUAAAGGUUCAGAACCAGCAGCUCAACACCCUGCGAACUUCAGAGAAACAACUCAAACAGGAGAUAAACCACCUGUUGGAAAUCAAACGUAGCCUUGAGAAGCAAAAUAUGGAACUGCGCAAGGAGCGUCAGGAUUCUGAUGGACAGAUGAAGGAACUACAGGAUCAGUUGGAGGCAGAGCAGUAUUUCUCUACGCUGUAUAAGACACAGGUGCGGGAGCUGAAGGAAGAGUGUGAGGAGAAAAAUAAACUCUAUAAAGACAUGCAGCAGAGUCUACAGGAGCUACAGGAGGAAAGGGAUUCUCUUGCGGCCCAGUUAGAGAUCACACUAACGAAGGCUGACUCGGAGCAGCUGGCGCGCUCAAUUGCAGAGGAGCAGUAUUCCGACCUGGAGAAGGAGAAGAUCAUGAAGGAGCUGGAGAUCAAAGAGAUGAUGGCCAGACACAGACAGGAGCUCGCUGAAAAAGACACCACCAUCACCUCAUUAGAGGAAGCUAAUCGCACAUUGACGAAUGAUGUGGCAAACUUGGCCAAUGAGAAAGAAGAACUGAACAACAAGCUAAAGGAAACACAAGACUACCUGCAGAAUCUCAAGAAUGAAGAGCAGUCAAUCAUUCAAGUGAAACUAGCCCUUGAGAAACAGCUUCAGUCGGAGAGAACUCUCAAAACACAGGCGGUGAACAAGCUGGCAGAGAUCAUGAAUAGAAAGGAGGUCAGAGGUGGUGGAAGUCGCCGUGGAAAUGAUACAGACGUGAGGAGGAAGGAGAAAGAAAACAGGAAGUUGCAGCUGGAGCUGCGUUCUGAGAGGGAGAAGCUCAACAGUUCUAUUAUCAAAUACCAGAGAGAAAUCAAUGACAUGCAAGCGCAACUGGCAGAUGAGUCUCAGGUGCGUGUUGAGCUGCAGAUGGCUCUGGACAGUAAAGACAGCGAUAUCGAGCAGCUGCGCAGCCUGCUGAACUCUCUAAACAUCCAGUCGCUGGACUCUGCCAGUAUGAGCAGCGGCCCAGAAAUGGACACUGAUGAAUCACUAGCAGAGACAAGACUGGAGGGUUGGCUAUCUUUACCAGUGAGGAACAACACCAAACGAUUUGGGUGGGAAAGGAAGUAUGUUGUGGUGAGCAGCAAGAAGAUUCUCUUCUACAACAGUGAGCAGGACAAAGAGCUUUCGAAUCCUUACAUGGUGUUGGACAUAGAUAAACUUUUUCAUGUGCGUUCGGUGACCCAGACGGACGUCUACCGUGCUGACGCCAAAGAGAUCCCCAGAAUAUUCCAGAUCUUGUACGCUAAUGAGGGUGAAAGCAAGAAAGAGCAAGAACUGGAACCUCUUCCUGGGGACAAGUCCAGCUACAUUUGCCAUAAGGGUCAUGAGUUUAUUCCCACCCUGUACCACUUCCCAACGAACUGUGAAGCCUGUACCAAACCCCUGUGGAACAUGUUUAAACCACCUCCAGCUCUCGAAUGCAGACGAUGUCACAUCAAGUGCCACAAAGACCACAUGGACAAGAAAGAGGAAAUCAUUGCUCCGUGUAAAGUGAACUAUGACGUGUCUAUGGCUAAAAAUCUGCUGCUGUUAGCAUUGUCUCAGGAGGAACAGCAGAAGUGGGUUAGUCGGCUCAUGAAGAAGAUCCCCAAAAAACCUCCAGCACCUGAUGCCUCUCACCGCUCUUCUCCCAGAGCUCCUAUUAAAGUACAGAACAGUCAAUCCUUAAAGAGAUCCAGCCGACCAAUACCCCCCGGCAAACCCAGUCCCCCUCAACUGGACACACCAAAGAUGAGGCGAGAAGACUCCACCAACAGCCUUCUGAACAAAUGAGUCCGUUUGAUUACCAUGUUUACAAACUCUUUAUUAAGAAGACAUUUCAGCUGUAAUUCUCUUUUUAUUUGUUCCCUUUUGCUAUGAAAGUUUGCCACUUGUGUGUGUUUGCAGGUGUAUUGAUCUUCUUCUCUUGAGCAUGAUGGCACGCUGUGGUGCUUUUUUUUUUUUUUUUAUGAACAAAGGAUUUUUCUUUCCUCUUGCGUUAAAAUGUGGUGAAACUAACUUUCUCUUUGUCUUUCUCGAUUUCUCCCUCCUUCUCUAGUUAACCUUAUAUUGGGAUUCUGGUGCUGCUACAUGGUGAUUUGGGGUUCUUCCUAUCACAUCAACAAAAGACCUUUAUAACUUUUCGCACAUUUUGGCAAAUCCCCAAAAAGUGAGAGAUGUACAAAUGUUGAAGAAGGCUUUGCUGUCGUGAUAUGGCUUUUAUUCUCUGGGCAUACGGUUGCUUCGACUUCAACAGCACAGCAGUUCUACACAAAACUAAAGGGUCAGCGUCACACCAAACUACUUCAUUCAAGGCCAGAGUUGACCUGAACGCUAAGACUGAACCCCGCUGGACCGGCCAGAGAAUGUGGACGACAGCUGUGUCCGACCAUAGGCUUUUUUUUUUUUUUUAAUGGCUGAAUAUAGACAGUAGUGCAACACACCACAUACAGUAAACGGCUAGAAAACACCACUACAUAUGUUUCUCAUUACUUACAUAAAUGCAAUGAAACUGUAGUGUUUCUUCUUGUAGUGUUUUUACUUUUGUUUACCCCACUGUGUGAUCAAAGCUUGAUUAAACCUUCUCUGGUUAUGAAUGCAUUCCAUAAUGCUCUCCUGGACACCUGCACUGCUCACUCCUCAGUAUGAAUCGAAUGUAAUGAUGGUAUGAUUAACAGAUCUACAUCUAGAUGUGAGCUGUGCACGUGGGCAGGAGUUUCUUUUUUUUUUUGUGAUUUGAAGUCAGUUUUUUGUUUGUUUCUUCACCCUAGCAAACAGUGUGUAUCUCUGGGUGUGCUGUGACUGCAUAUCAGUGUUCUUUUACACGUUAUAUAUAUAAAUAUAUGAAUAUACAGCGUAUAUUUGACCUGCCGUCUUACCAGUUGGUUUGCUAUUUAUACAGGUCUGGGCACUUUUUUUAUUUUAUUUUAAAGCUCUGCCUCCAGAUUUGCAUGUUUUAUAUUGAUGUACUGUUUGACAAUAAAAUGAAAAGCAUAUGUAGCUUUGUUGUUUGGAAACCCUGUAUAACUUUUGCUUAUUUUUGUAAACACAAGUAGUUGGUUAAAUAGGUAUAUAGCUGUGAAUGUAGUAAAAAGGAAGUAAAGUUUUAAUAUAAACAAUGUGGUCAUUACUUUGUCUGCUUCAAUCACAGAAGUUAUACAUU